Molecule: non-coding RNA, 447 nt
Organism: Sus scrofa (pig)
Lineage: Eukaryota; Metazoa; Chordata; Mammalia; Artiodactyla; Suidae
Source: RefSeq, a predicted model, not a curated record
CGGAGACGGCGCUUCCGGUCGGCGGCGGGCGGCGCGGGCGGCGCGGACGGCGGGCGGCGGAGGCUGCGGGGUUGUCCCACUGCUGGCCUCUCUGCAGGAAGCAGCAAGCAGAGCCCGGGGCCAGAGUGGCCCAGAGAGGACUGCCCUGAUGAGCGCAUGCACAGGACACUGAGUGCAGUUCCCCGGGCUAUACAGUAGGACUUUGUGGUUGGUUGUAUGUGUAGACACUUGUGUCUGCGAAUCCCAAACGCUUAAUUUACCCUCCCCCCGCUCUGGUAACAAAUUUUCUCUGUCUAGGUUUUCGUAAUAAUGGCCAUUCCGACUCGUGUGAGGUGAUACCUCAUUGUAGUUUUGGUUUGCAUUUCUCUAAUAAUUAGCAAUGCUGAGCAUCUUUUCAUGUGCCUCUGGGCCAUCUGUGUAUAUUCUUUGGAAAAAUGUCUGUUUAGG